GACGAACGCUGGCGGCGUGCUUAACACAUGCAAGUCGAACGGAAAGGCCCCUUUGGCGUUCCUCGAGUGGCGAACGGUUGCGUAACACGUGAGUAACCUGCCCUUGACUUCGGGAUAACUUCAGGAAACUGGGGCUAAUACCGGAUAGGAAUCCUUGCUGCAUGGUGGGGGUUCGAAAGCUUCGGCGGCUUUGCAUGGACUCGCGGCUUAUCGGCUUGUUGGUGGGGUAGUGGCUUACCAACGCUUUGACGGGUAGCCGGCCUGAGAGGGCGACCGGCCGCAUUGGGACUGAGAGGCGGCCCAGGCGCCGACGGGAGGAGGAAGGGGGGAAUAUUGCACAAGCGGCGGAGGCCUGAUGCAGCAAGGCCGCGGGCGGGAUGACGGCCUUCGGGUUGUAGACCGGUUUCAGCAGGGGCGAAGCUUGUGGUGACGGUACCUGAAGAAGAAGCACCGGCUAACUACGUG
RNAcentral lists this ribosomal RNA (465 nucleotides) under uncultured bacterium. RNAcentral's name for it is "partial 16S ribosomal RNA". It matches the Rfam family "Bacterial small subunit ribosomal RNA", at positions 28 to 507 of the family's 1533-position model. The record is from RNAcentral.